UACGUAGGGCGCAAGCGUUGUCCGGAAUUAUUGGGCGUAAAGAGCUCGUAGGUAGUUUGUCGCGUCUGCCGUGAAAACCCGAGGCUUAACCUCGGGCCUGCGGUGGAUACGGGCAAACUAGAGGUAGGUAGGGGAGAACGGAAUUCCCGGUGUAGCGGUGAAAUGCGCAGAUAUCGGGAGGAACACCGGUGGCGAAGGCGGUUCUCUGGGCCUUACCUGACGCUGAGGAGCGAAAGCAUGGGGAGCGAACAGG
This 253-nucleotide ribosomal RNA is filed under the name uncultured bacterium. RNAcentral's name for it is "partial 16S ribosomal RNA". It matches the Rfam family "Bacterial small subunit ribosomal RNA", at positions 524 to 776 of the family's 1533-position model. The record is from RNAcentral.